Molecule: long non-coding RNA, 1565 nt
Filed under: Homo sapiens (human)
Lineage: Eukaryota; Metazoa; Chordata; Mammalia; Primates; Hominidae
Description: non-protein coding lnc-NEDD1-7:1
Source: RNAcentral
UUCUUUCCUUCUUUCUUUCUUGUCCCACUCCAUUGCCCAGGCUGGAGUGCAGUGAUGCAAUCUCAGUUCACUGCAACCUCCACCUCCCAGGUUCAAGUGAUUCUACUGCCUCAGCCUCCCAAGUAGCUGGGAUUACAGGCAUGCAUGCCCGACUAAUUUUUUCUAUUUAACAGAGACAGGGUUUCACCAUGUUGGUCAGGCUGGUCUUGAACUCCUGACCUCAGGUGAUCCGCCCACCUCAGCCUCCCAAAAUGCAGGGAUUGUAGGCGUGAGCCACUGCACCUGGCCUUGAGUUCUCUACUUCUUAUUAGCCAAUCGCUUCUUACUACAAUCCCCUGCUACAGUUAAUACUUCUUUUUGUUAACAUUUUCCUGUUAAAAUUACUGUAUAACUUUGAUCUCCUGAUUGGACCAAGACUCAUGUGGUGUCCCCCCAAAACCCUCCAGAUUCAUAGUGAUUUCCCCAGAGGCCAUGGCUGAGCUACAGACUGCACUCCUUUUCCUUUCCUUCAAUCCAACCACUUGAUUUUAGUGGGGGCCAUCCACUGUGGUUCCCAACCUCCUCGUGAUUAGUUCAUAGAGAAAGUAUCAGCCCAAAGCUGUCCAGUCUUUCCUGUGUGUUUUUUUUUUUUUUUUUUUUUUUUGAAACGAGCUGGUGUGAUGGAAACAUUCUACAUUAAGGUUGCAAAAAAAAAAGAAGGUUGCAGUAGUGGUUAUGCAUGGAUGUAUAAAUUUGUCAAUGCUGACUGAAAUGUAUACUUAUAAUGGGUGCAUUUUAAGCGCUCUAUAUCUCAAUAUAGUUACUUUAAAAACAGAACAAAACCUUGUGCUCUGGGGUUGAAACUAAGGAUACAAACUGCCUGGGGCAGCCAGCCUUGUGGGGAAGGCCAGACUGAGAGAAGGAAGCUGAGAUACACAGAGGUAAAGAUGAGGGCAAGUUUGUGGGCUCUGGUCUCUGGUUCCUUUUGUAUUCCAAGAGUGGAUUUACCCCUUUCUUUUCUGCUAUUUGUUCUUCUGUUCUAAUACAUUCUCUUUUUGCAUAAACUAGCUCAAUUCAAGUUUCCGUUGCUUGUAACAGAAACUAAAAAUAUCUAAUACAGAAAGAAAAGGUCAUUGCAGGCUGAGCUAAUUAAGGUGAGCAGACUUUAUUUCGGAGCUGGAUUUUAUAGGGUGCACAGAGCAAAGGCAGAAAGGCCCCGUAGGUAACAAUGUUAAGAAAGCACAGUGGAGAAUAAGGAUAAAUUUGGCAUUUGUGGGGUUAGGCAGAUUAUAGCAGUUCAGAGGAGGGACUUUGAAAUCAGAUGGAUUUGGGUUUAACUCUUAGCUUUGCUUUUUUGCAAACCAGCAUCCUGGUAAUUAGAGACAACCCAAGGUCUCUGAGUGUCCUAUCUCUCCUGGCUUCAUUUCAUCCCCAAAUUGGAUUUGCAUGAUCCUACAUUAUAAGCCACUGACAGAUGUGUUGAAUAGGACAGAACCAAGUAUGGAGCCCUGAAGCAUGUCAUGAAGACUUCCUUUUGCAUUGACUUCGUUUUACUAAUUGGUCCUCUUUCAGUAAAAGGUUUCAAC